This 253-nucleotide ribosomal RNA is filed under the name uncultured bacterium. Its description in RNAcentral is "partial 16S ribosomal RNA". It matches the Rfam family "Bacterial small subunit ribosomal RNA", at positions 524 to 776 of the family's 1533-position model. The record is from RNAcentral.
UACGGAGGGAGCAAGCGUUGUUCGGAUUUACUGGGCGUAAAGGGCGCGUAGGCGGUCUUUUAAGUCUUGUGUGAAAUCCCUCGGCUCAACUGAGGAACUGCACGGGAUACUGGAAGACUUGAGUUCGGGAGAGGGAAGCGGGAUUCCGGGUGUAGCGGUGAAAUGCGUAGAUAUCCGGAGGAACACCGGUGGCGAAGGCGGCUUCCUGGUCCAGCACCGACGUUCAGGCACGAAAGCGUGGGGAGCAAACAGG